CGGACGGCUGAGUAAUGCACAGGAACGUACCUUGAAGUGGGGGAUAGCCCUUCGAAAGAAGGGGUAAUACCGCAUGUGCUGGCAACAGUAAAGCCGCAAGGCGCUUUAAGAACGGCCUGUGUCCUAUCAGGUUGUUGGUGGGGUAAUUGCCUACCAAGCCUAUGACGGGUAGCUGGUCUGAGAGGAUGACCAGCCAGAUCGGGACUGAGACACGGCCCGA
This 220-nucleotide ribosomal RNA is filed under the name uncultured bacterium. RNAcentral's name for it is "partial 16S ribosomal RNA". It matches the Rfam family "Bacterial small subunit ribosomal RNA", at positions 99 to 334 of the family's 1533-position model. The record is from RNAcentral.